Hyla sarda is the source of this 270-nucleotide long non-coding RNA. RefSeq lists it as uncharacterized. The transcript has 3 exons. The record is from RefSeq and is a predicted model, not a curated record. NCBI's taxonomy places the organism in Eukaryota, Metazoa, Chordata, Amphibia, Anura, Hylidae.
AGUUCCUCUGACUCCUGGUUAUAUUUGGAUUCCUCCGUGCAGUUACUGCGGAGCCUUAGGAACUGGCUCCUGGGGAUGUUCCUCAACCAGAUGAGAGUAUCCCUUUAAUUGAUGGAGGUGUAUAACAGGUGUAUGGAGGUGUAUAACAGGAAAGAUCGGAAAUGCAAAUAUUUAGCUGUGACAAUCCUUUGGCAAUGAAUUAAAGUUAUAGCCCAGUUAUGUGACUUAGGAUUUCUGCAUGGAACCUGCUGUGAAACUACAAUAUCAAAG